UACGUAGGGGGCAAGCGUUGUCCGGAAUCAUUGGGCGUAAAGCGCGUGUAGGCGGCCAGGUAAGUCCGUUCUGAAAGCCCGGGGCUCAACCCCGGGAGGCGGAUGGAUACUGCUUGGCUCGAGUCCGGAAGAGGCGAGUGGAAUUCCCGGUGUAGCGGUGAAAUGCGCAGAUAUCGGGAGGAACACCAAUGGCGAAGGCAGCUCGCUGGGACGGUACUGACGCUGAGACGCGAAAGCGUGGGGAGCAAACAGGAUAGAUAC
Molecule: ribosomal RNA, 261 nt
Filed under: uncultured bacterium
Lineage: Bacteria
Description: partial 16S ribosomal RNA
Rfam family: Bacterial small subunit ribosomal RNA
Source: RNAcentral